Molecule: ribosomal RNA, 379 nt
Filed under: uncultured bacterium
Lineage: Bacteria
Description: bacterial SSU rRNA
Rfam family: Bacterial small subunit ribosomal RNA
Source: RNAcentral
AUUGAACGCUGGCGGAAUGCUUUACACAUGCAAGUCGAACGGCAGCACGGGGCAACCUGGUGGCGAGUGGCGAACGGGUGAGUAAUAUAUCGGAACGUGCCCAAUCGUGGGGAUAACGUAGCGAAAGUUACGCUAAUACCGCAUACGAUCUACGGAUGAAAGCGGGGAUCGCAAGACCUCGCGCGAAUGGAGCGGCCGAUAUCAGAUUAGGUAGUUGGUGGGGUAAAGGCUCACCAAGCCAACGAUCUGUAGCUGGUCUGAGAGGACGACCAGCCACACUGGAACUGAGACACGGUCCAGACUCCUACGGGAGGCAGCAGUGGGAAUUUGGACAAUGGACGCAAGCCUGAUCCAGCCAUUCCGCGUGCAGGAUGAAAGG